AAAGAAACUUCACUGCAAAAGUUGAAGACUGAGCUAGAAAUUUACAAAGAAAAUAAUGUGCAACAGUCGUUCCAGAUAAUGUCCCUGAAAGAUAAUAUCAAGGACCUACAGGAACUUAUUGCUUCUCUAACCAGAAUUAAGUAUUUGAGAAACACCAAUAUUCAGAGCCUUGAAAGAGGCAACUGGGAUUUAACUGAAGGAGUUACAGAACUAGAACACCUAGUUCUAAGCUCAGCAACUUUCAAGAAACUAUUAUGAAGAUGUUGAGAUCUGACAUGAAAACAGCAGACAAGGAAAUCAUCAAUUGGCUAAAGCUUAUUAUACAACUUCAUGAAAUAUCUAACAAAUCAAAAAUUGCUUCUGAUUGUGAGACUGGAAAGGUUAAUUAAUAAAGCCAUUCUGCCUCUUCAUUGCUGCCAAGAACUCAGCAGAUAUGGAUAUCCUCCAGCAUCUUGGAUGUAGCUAAAUUGUGAAUAAAAUGCAGUGGAAAUUUUUC
Molecule: long non-coding RNA, 496 nt
Filed under: Saimiri boliviensis boliviensis (Bolivian squirrel monkey)
Lineage: Eukaryota; Metazoa; Chordata; Mammalia; Primates; Cebidae
Description: lncRNA (ENSSBOG00000036750.1)
Source: RNAcentral